This 490-nucleotide ribosomal RNA is filed under the name uncultured bacterium. Its description in RNAcentral is "partial 16S ribosomal RNA". It matches the Rfam family "Bacterial small subunit ribosomal RNA", at positions 28 to 507 of the family's 1533-position model. The record is from RNAcentral.
GUUGAACGCUGGCGGCAGGCCUAACACAUGCAAGUCGAACGGUAACAGGAAGAAGCUUGCUUCUUUGCUGACGAGUGGCGGACGGGUGAGUAAUAUCUGGGAAACUGCCUGAUGGAGGGGGAUAACUACUGGAAACGGUAGCUAAUACCGCAUAAUGUCGCAAGACCAAAGAGGGGGACCUUCGGGCCUCUUGCCAUCGGAUGUGCCCAGAUGGGAUUAGCUAGUAGGUGGGGUAACGGCUCACCUAGGCGACGAUCCCUAGCUGGUCUGAGAGGAUGACCAGCCACACUGGAACUGAGACACGGUCCAGACUCCUACGGGAGGCAGCAGUGGGGAAUAUUGCACAAUGGGCGCAAGCCUGAUGCAGCUAUGCCGCGUGUAUGAAGAAGGCCUUCGGGUUGUAAAGUACUUUCAGCGGGGAGGAAGGGAGUAAAGUUAAUACCUUUGCUCAUUGACGUUACCCGCAGAAGAAGCACCGGCUAACUCCGUG